GAUUCCCGUAGUAGCGGUGAGCGAAAUGGGAGCAAUUUAAUAAACCUUAAAACGGAAUUGUGGAGAGCAAUACAAGUGUCGUGCUGCUAGGCGAAGCAGCCCGAAUGUUGCACCCCAGAUGGUAAAAGUCCAGUAGCCGAAAGCAUCACUAGCUUAUGCUUUGAUCCGAGUAGCAUGAGGCAGGUCAAGGAAGUUGGUGACCUGAUGAUAGGGGAGCCAACAACCAAAGUCCUA
Molecule: non-coding RNA, 234 nt
Organism: Nicotiana attenuata
Lineage: Eukaryota; Viridiplantae; Streptophyta; Magnoliopsida; Solanales; Solanaceae
Source: Rfam